This 301-nucleotide ribosomal RNA is filed under the name uncultured bacterium. RNAcentral describes it as "partial 16S ribosomal RNA". It matches the Rfam family "Bacterial small subunit ribosomal RNA", at positions 509 to 807 of the family's 1533-position model. The record is from RNAcentral.
CAGCAGCCGCGGUAAUACGAAGGGGGCUAGCGUUGUUCGGAUUUACUGGGCGUAAAGCGCACGUAGGCGGACUUUUAAGUCAGGGGUGAAAUCCCGGGGCUCAACCCCGGAACUGCCUUUGAUACUGGAAGUCUUGAGUAUGGUAGAGGUGAGUGGAAUUCCGAGUGUAGAGGUGAAAUUCGUAGAUAUUGGGAAGAACACCGGUGGCGAAGGCGGCGACCUGGUCCUUUACUGACGCUGAGGCGCGAAGGCGUGGGGAGCAAACAGGAUUAGAUACCCGCGUAGUCCCUGUCUCUUAUAC